UUAUGAUUUAAACUUAAUAGUAUUGCAGCCUAUAAUAGAGCUCUAGAUAAGAGCU
Molecule: ribosomal RNA, 55 nt
Filed under: Anaxyrus americanus charlesmithi (dwarf American toad)
Lineage: Eukaryota; Metazoa; Chordata; Amphibia; Anura; Bufonidae
Description: partial 16S large subunit ribosomal RNA
Source: RNAcentral